AUAAAAAACCAACGCCCUUCGGGGCUCCUUGGUGAAUCAUAAUAACUUAACGAAUCGCAUGGCCUUGCGCCGGCGAUGGUUCAUUCAAAUUUCUGCCCUUUCAACUUUCGAUGGUAGGAUAGUGGCCUACCAUGGUGGCAACGGGUAACGGGGAAUUAGGGUUCGAUUCCGGAGAGGGAGCCUGAGAAACGGCUACCACAUCCAAGGAAGGCAGCAGGCGCGCAAAUUACCCAAUCCCGAUACGGGGAUGUAGUGACAAUAAAUACUGAUACGGGGCUCUUUUGGGUCUCGUAAUUGGAAUGAGAACAAUUUAAAUCCCUUAACGAGGAACAAUUGGAGGGCAAGUCUGGUGCCAGCAGCCGCGGUAAUUCCAGCUCCAAUAGCGUAUAUUAAAGUUGUUGCAGUUAAAAAGCUCGUAGUUGAACCUUGGCCCUGGCUGGCCGGUCCGCCUCACCGCGAGUACUGGUCCGGCUGGGGCUUUCCUUCUGGGGAACCUCAUGGCCUUCACUGGCUGUGG
This 517-nucleotide ribosomal RNA is filed under the name uncultured fungus. RNAcentral's name for it is "SSU rRNA". It matches the Rfam family "Eukaryotic small subunit ribosomal RNA", at positions 214 to 731 of the family's 1831-position model. Lineage: Eukaryota; Fungi. The record is from RNAcentral.